CUGUGGAUCAGACUGAUGGUUAGGUCUGUCCCUCCUAAAAAAGCACAAAUUUUUGGGCAAGUUUAUCAGGAAAGAAAGAGCCGCUAUCUACAAUGAUAGGGUUACAAUGCUGGGUUACAACCUCUUCCAGAAUUGCUUCUGUAUUUUACAUGAAAUGGUUGCUGGAUAAAAUCCUUGAAACUGGUCUUGAGUUCUUGACAGGUUGAUACUUUAACUACUCCCUGGUGAUUCCAGUUUACUCUCCUUGGGAGGCAACGAACAAAAGCCUUCCUUGCAGAGCAGUACCCAGUUCAGCAGGAGGGACUGACAAAUGCUUUCAGCUGCUCAAUUGUACAUGGCUUAAUGGAUGGGAAGAUGUGAGUUUUCUUACCACCAGAAGCCUUUUGGCACAGUGCUACUCAUCCUGAUGGCUGUCCUAGGGCUGGAGCUGUGUAAAGGAUGGAAAGUUUCACCUAUAUCCCAGACUGCCAGGAGACAGAUGGGCCUCAACUGAUUGUGCAACUCGCCUCUCUUCGUAGUAUCACAGUGACUCAGAUGAAUUGUGAUUUUGGACAUCACUAAUGGACUAAUGGCUUUUAGAAACAUAACAGGCUGCAGCUUCUAAUAUCUGUUCUGGUAAUGAAGCCCUGUGAAUCCUAGAAUACCUCUCUGUGAUUUUCUGUCUGUAUUUACUCUUGUCAUCUUUCAAGCAUCCAGUGUCUUGGUGAUUGUCUGUGAAUGAACACACCAUUUGCAGAAAUCAAAAUCUCUUCCUGAAAAGAGAAGCAAGCCAAAAGUUUUCUUCAUAUGUAUUAUUGAUGGAGUGAAGCCCUUUCCUGAUGUGGGGGCGUAUGUAAGCAGAGGGCAACUAAUAUUUCAAAGAAGAUUGGCAUUUCUUACCAAGAAUCUGUUGUGGCAAAGAAUCUCUCAACCUCAAGAAGUAACCUGGAGAGGAAUCCCUACUCACAGGGAGAUCUUGGUGUGCAGCCAUACAGGAGAGCUCAACAGGCCCUAGGAUGUCCUCUCUUCUCUGUUUAUGGAGUAAGAUGACUGACCUCCAGUUGUAUUUGCAUGCCAGCAAGAUAUCUGGGUCACUGCUCCAGACAGUCCCUGUCUGCCAUCCAUCCCUGAAGUUCAGAGGAAGCUGCAUGCUUACUCAC
Non-coding RNA from Cyanistes caeruleus (blue tit), 1139 nucleotides. NCBI's taxonomy places the organism in Eukaryota, Metazoa, Chordata, Aves, Passeriformes, Paridae. The record is from RefSeq and is a predicted model, not a curated record.